GACGAACGCUGGCGGCGUGCUUAACACAUGCAAGUCGAACGAUGAAGCCGGAGCUUGCUCUGGUGAAUUAGUGGCGAACGGGUGAGUAACACGUGAGUAACCUGCCCUUGACUCUGGGAUAACUGCUAGAAAUGGUAGCUAAUACCGGAUACGACCCUCGGAGGCAUCUCCAGGGGGUGGAAAGAAUUUCGGUCAAGGAUGGACUCGCGGCCUAUCAGCUAGUUGGUGAGGUAACGGCUCACCAAGGCGACGACGGGUAGCCGGCCUGAGAGGGUGACCGGCCACACUGGGACUGAGACACGGCCCAGACUCCUACGGGAGGCGGCAGUGGGGAAUAUUGCACAAUGGGCGCAAGCCUGAUGCAGCAACGCCGCGUGAGGGAUGACGGCCUUCGGGUUGUAAACCUCUUUUAGUAGGGAAGAAGCGAAGGUGACGGUACCUGCAGAAAAAGCACCGGCUAACUACGUGCCAGCAGCCGCGGUAA
Molecule: ribosomal RNA, 484 nt
Filed under: uncultured bacterium
Lineage: Bacteria
Description: partial 16S ribosomal RNA
Rfam family: Bacterial small subunit ribosomal RNA
Source: RNAcentral